Molecule: non-coding RNA, 89 nt
Organism: Megaselia scalaris
Lineage: Eukaryota; Metazoa; Arthropoda; Insecta; Diptera; Phoridae
Source: Rfam
UUAAAAUUAACGAGCGAUUGUCAGCCUAGUCGCUUGUGUUCUUUGGCUUCAAAGUGACUAGACCGAACACUCGUGCAAUAAUUUUAGAA